ACGGGAGGCAGCAGUGGGGAAUAUUGCACAAUGGGGGAAACCCUGAUGCAGCAACGCCGCGUGAGCGAUGAAGGUCUUCGGAUUGUAAAGCUCUGUCCUUAGGGAAGAUAAUGACGGUACCUGAGGAGGAAGCCCCGGCUAACUACGUGCCAGCAGCCGCGGUAAUACGUAGGGGGCGAGCGUUAUCCGGAAUUAUUGGGCGUAAAGAGUGCGUAGGUGGUUACCUAAGCAGGGGGUGAAAGGCUAUGGCUUAACCAUAGUUAGCCCCCUGAACUGGGCUACUUGAGUGCAGGAGAGGAAAGCGGAAUUCCUAGUGUAGCGGUGAAAUGCGUAGAUAUUAGGAGGAACACCAGUGGCGAAGGCGGCUUUCUGGACUGUUACUGACACUGAGGCACGAAAGUGUGGGGAGCAAACAGGAUUAGAUACCCUGGUA
RNAcentral lists this ribosomal RNA (433 nucleotides) under uncultured Eubacteriales bacterium. RNAcentral's name for it is "uncultured Clostridiales bacterium partial 16S ribosomal RNA". It matches the Rfam family "Bacterial small subunit ribosomal RNA", at positions 341 to 792 of the family's 1533-position model. The record is from RNAcentral. Lineage: Bacteria; Bacillati; Bacillota; Clostridia; Eubacteriales. RNAcentral also lists the same sequence under 2 other names.